Molecule: ribosomal RNA, 469 nt
Filed under: uncultured bacterium
Lineage: Bacteria
Description: partial 16S ribosomal RNA
Rfam family: Bacterial small subunit ribosomal RNA
Source: RNAcentral
GACGAACGCUGGCGGCGUGCUUAACACAUGCAAGUCGAACGAUGAUGCUCCAGCUUGCUGGGGUGGAUUAGUGGCGAACGGGUGAGUAACACGUGAGUAACCUGCCCCCUUCUUCGGGAUAAGCUUGGGAAACUGGGUCUAAUACUGGAUAUUCUGCAAUUGUCGCAUGGUGGUUGUGGGAAAGAUUUUUUGGUGGGGGAUGGGCUCGCGGCCUAUCAGCUUGUUGGUGGGGUGAUGGCCUACCAAGGCGUCGACGGGUAGCCGGCCGGAGAGGGUGACCGGAGAGAAUGGGACUGAAACACGGCGGGGAGGGGGACGGGAGGCAGCAGUGGGGAAGGUGGCACAAUGGGCGGAAGCCGGAUGGAGGGAGGCUGCGUGAUGGAUGAUUGACAUCGGUUUGGAAAAGUCGAUCAGCAUGUAUGUUGUGUAGGUGAGGGUACCUUAAAAAGAGGCGCGGGCCAACUACGUG